RNAcentral lists this transfer RNA (85 nucleotides) under Lynx canadensis (Canada lynx). It matches the Rfam family "tRNA". Rfam says of the family: Transfer RNA (tRNA) molecules are approximately 80 nucleotides in length. Their secondary structure includes four short double-helical elements and three loops (D, anti-codon, and T loops). The record is from Rfam by way of RNAcentral. Lineage: Eukaryota; Metazoa; Chordata; Mammalia; Carnivora; Felidae.
ACCUGGUUGGCUAUGUUGGUUAAGCACCCGACUUUGGCUCAGGUCAUGAUCUUGUGAUUCAUGGGUUCGAGCCCCAUGUCAGGCU